This is a non-coding RNA of Pelobates cultripes (western spadefoot toad), 487 nucleotides long. The record is from the annotation of a GenBank genome assembly. Lineage: Eukaryota; Metazoa; Chordata; Amphibia; Anura; Pelobatidae.
CAUGAUUGUACUUGUUCUCCCAAAAUCAGGAAUUAGUUGUGUGCCAGCACUACAGUAUUUGUAUGUUUUGCUAAUGGUGCAAUAUUGGCAAAAUGCAUCCAUUUACAGUCUGACACCCUUACUGAAUUCUGCCAACUUUGGAUUACUAAAUAAUUCAAUACUGCUUUCAUUUUAAGGUUUGUUUUGUCUGUACAAAAAAAACCCCUAGAAUUUCAAAGAGUGAGGCUGGGAGUUACUGAUUGGAAUAUAGAAUAUCUUUUCCACAGUUGCCAUAUUUAAUUCUCAUAGUAUACUGACCUUAUAAAGGAUUCCUUUUUAUUUUUAUUUUUUAGCUGUUUAUUUUAAAAAUUGUCUGUGAAUAUUGUUAACCUGAGAAAUUGGCAUCAUUCACAAAAAUCAAACUUUAAUGACAACCAUGUAACUUUGAUAUUUCUGAUUAAAAUUUAAUAGAAAAAUGUGUAACACUUAUAUGCAUGGUUAUAAUAUG